This 451-nucleotide ribosomal RNA is filed under the name uncultured bacterium. Its description in RNAcentral is "partial 16S ribosomal RNA". It matches the Rfam family "Bacterial small subunit ribosomal RNA", at positions 28 to 507 of the family's 1533-position model. The record is from RNAcentral.
AGCGAACGCUGGCGGCAUGCCUAACACAUGCAAGUCGCACGGGGGGGCUUCGGCCUCCCAGUGGCGGACGGGUGAGGAACGCGUAGGGACCUGUCGAGGGGUGGGGGAUAACCGCGGGAAACUGCGGCUAAUACCGCAUGACGCCGCGGCGUGACAGCCGGGGCCAAAGGCGCAAGCGGCCCGCCGAGGGGCCUGCGGCCGAUUAGCCGGUUGGCGGGGUAGCGGCCCACCAAGGCGGCGAUCGGUAGCUGGUCUGGGAGGGUGAUCAGCCACACCGGGACUGAGACACGGCCCGGACUCCUACGGGAGGCAGCAGUGGGGAAUAUUGGACAAUGGGCGCAAGCCUGAUCCAGCAAUGCCGCGUGGGUGAAGAAGGUCUUCGGAUUGUAAAGCCCUUUCGGCGGGGACGAUGGUGACGGUACCCGCAGAAGAAGCCCCGGCUAACUUCGUG